GACGAACCGAGCGAACGUUGUUCGGAAUCACUGGGCUUAAAGGGCGCGUAGGCGGGCUGCCGCGUCCGGGGUGAAAUCCCACGGCUCAACCGUGGAACUGCCCCGGAUACGGGCGGCCUCGAGGGGGGUAGGGGCAUCUGGAACUGUGAGUGGAGCGGUGAAAUGCGUUGAUAUUCACAGGAACUCCGGUGGCGAAGGCGAGGUGCUGGACCCCACCUGACGCUGAGGCGCGAAAGCCAGGGGAGCAAACGGG
This 253-nucleotide ribosomal RNA is filed under the name uncultured bacterium. RNAcentral describes it as "partial 16S ribosomal RNA". It matches the Rfam family "Bacterial small subunit ribosomal RNA", at positions 524 to 776 of the family's 1533-position model. The record is from RNAcentral.